CAGUAGCCGCGGUAAUACGGAGGGUGCAAGCGUUAAUCGGAAUUACUGGGCGUAAAGCGCACGCAGGCGGUCUGACAAGUCAGAUGUGAAAUCCCCGGGCUUAACCUGGGAACUGCAUUUGAAACUGUCAGGCUGGAGUCUUGUAGAGGGGGGUGGAAUUCCAGGUGUAGCGGUGAAAUGCGUAGAGAUCUGGAGGAAUACCGGUGGCGAAGGCGGCCCCCUGGACAAAGACUGACGCUCAGGUGCGAAAGCGUGGGGAGCAAACAGGAUUAGAUACCCGUGUAGUCCCUGUCUCUUAUAA
This 301-nucleotide ribosomal RNA is filed under the name uncultured bacterium. RNAcentral describes it as "partial 16S ribosomal RNA". It matches the Rfam family "Bacterial small subunit ribosomal RNA", at positions 509 to 809 of the family's 1533-position model. The record is from RNAcentral.